RNAcentral lists this transfer RNA (71 nucleotides) under Marmota monax (woodchuck). It matches the Rfam family "tRNA". Rfam says of the family: Transfer RNA (tRNA) molecules are approximately 80 nucleotides in length. Their secondary structure includes four short double-helical elements and three loops (D, anti-codon, and T loops). Lineage: Eukaryota; Metazoa; Chordata; Mammalia; Rodentia; Sciuridae. The record is from Rfam by way of RNAcentral.
GAGAAUUUAGCUCAGUGGUAAAGCAUGCGCUUAGUAUGUGCAAGGCCCUGGGUUCAAUCUCUGAACACACA